Molecule: non-coding RNA, 30 nt
Filed under: Rattus norvegicus (Norway rat)
Lineage: Eukaryota; Metazoa; Chordata; Mammalia; Rodentia; Muridae
Source: RNAcentral
GCCAAGGGCACAAAGCGACGCUGGGCUAUA